Molecule: ribosomal RNA, 253 nt
Filed under: uncultured bacterium
Lineage: Bacteria
Description: partial 16S ribosomal RNA
Rfam family: Bacterial small subunit ribosomal RNA
Source: RNAcentral
UACGUAGGGUGCGAGCGUUAAUCGGAAUUACUGGGCGUAAAGCGUGCGCAGGCGGUUAUGUAAGGCAGAUGUGAAAUCCCCGGGCUUAACCUGGGAACCGCAUUUGUGACUGCAUAGCUGGAGUACGGCAGAGGGGGAUGGAAUUCCGCGUGGAGCAGUGAAAUGCGUAGAUAUGCGGAGGAACACCGAUGGCGAAGGCAGUCCCCUGGGCCUGUACUGACGCUCAUGCACGAAAGCGUGGGGAGCAAACCGG